GGCGGGGCGGCAGCUACCAUGCAGUCGAGCGGUAACAGAUCCAGCUUGCUGGAUGCUGACGAGCGGCGGACGGGUGAGUAAUGCAUAGGAAUCUGCCCGAUAGUGGGGGAUAACCUGGGGAAACCCAGGCUAAUACCGCAUACGUCCUACGGGAGAAAGGGGGCUUCGGCUCCCGCUAUCGGAUGAGCCUAUGUCGGAUUAGCUAGUUGGUGAGGUAACGGCUCACCAAGGCCACGAUCCGUAGCUGGUCUGAGAGGAUGAUCAGCCACAUCGGGACUGAGACACGGCCCGAACUCCUACGGGAGGCAGCAGUGGGGAAUAUUGGACAAUGGGGGGAACCCUGAUCCAGCCAUGCCGCGUGUGUGAAGAAGGCCCUCGGGUUGUAAAGCACUUUCAGCGAGGAAGAACGCCUAGCGGUUAAUACCCGCUAGGAAAGACAUCACUCGCAGAAGAAGCACCGGCUAACUCCGUGCCAGCAGCCGCGGUAAUACGGAGGGUGCAAGCGUUAAUCGGAAUUACUGGGCGUAAAGCGCGCGUAGGUGGCUUGAUAAGCCGGUUGUGAAAGCCCCGGGCUCAACCUGGGAACGGCAUCCGGAACUGUCAAGCUAGAGUGCAGGAGAGGAAGGUAGAAUUCCCGGUGUAGCGGUGAAAUGCGUAGAGAUCGGGAGGAAUACCAGUGGCGAAGGCGGCCUUCUGGACUGACACUGACACUGAGGUGCGAAAGCGUGGGUAGCAAACAGGAUUAGUCCUUUG
Molecule: ribosomal RNA, 753 nt
Filed under: Vreelandella aquamarina
Lineage: Bacteria; Pseudomonadati; Pseudomonadota; Gammaproteobacteria; Oceanospirillales; Halomonadaceae
Description: bacterial SSU rRNA
Rfam family: Bacterial small subunit ribosomal RNA
Source: RNAcentral